UACGUAGGCAGCGAGCGUUGUUCGGAGUUACUGGGCGUAAAGGGUGUGUAGGCGGUUCUUUAAGUUUGGUGUGAAAUCUCCCGGCUCAACUGGGAGGGUGCGCCGAAUACUGAGGGACUAGAGUGCGGGAGAGGAAAGUGGAAUUCCUGGUGUAGCGGUGAAAUGCGUAGAUAUCAGGAGGAACACCGGUGGUGUAGACGGCUUUCUGGACCGUAACUGACGCUGAGACACGAAAGCUAGGGGAGCAAACGGG
This 253-nucleotide ribosomal RNA is filed under the name uncultured bacterium. Its description in RNAcentral is "partial 16S ribosomal RNA". It matches the Rfam family "Bacterial small subunit ribosomal RNA", at positions 524 to 776 of the family's 1533-position model. The record is from RNAcentral.